This 444-nucleotide ribosomal RNA is filed under the name uncultured Microvirga sp. RNAcentral describes it as "bacterial SSU rRNA". It matches the Rfam family "Bacterial small subunit ribosomal RNA", at positions 8 to 488 of the family's 1533-position model. The record is from RNAcentral. Lineage: Bacteria; Pseudomonadati; Pseudomonadota; Alphaproteobacteria; Hyphomicrobiales; Methylobacteriaceae.
AGAGUUUGAUCCUGGCUCAGAACGAACGCUGGCGGCAGGCCUAACACAUGCAAGUCGAACGAUAAGCCACCUUCGGGUGGUGGACAGUGGCAGACGGGUGAGUAACGCGUGGGAACGUGCCUUUCGGUUCGGAAUAACCCAGGGAAACUUGGGCUAAUACCGGAUACGCCCUUCGGGGGAAAGAUUCAUUGCCGAAAGAUCGGCCCGCGUCGGAUUAGCUAGUUGGUGGGGUAAUGGCUCACCAAGGCGACGAUCCGUAGCUGGUCUGAGAGGAUGACCAGCCACACUGGGACUGAGACACGGCCCAGACUCCUACGGGAGGCAGCAGUGGGGAAUAUUGGACAAUGGGCGCAAGCCUGAUCCAGCCAUGCCGCGUGGGUGAAGAAGGCCUUAGGGUUGUAAACCCCUUUCAGCGGGGAAGAUAAUGACGGUACCCGCAGAAGA